RNAcentral lists this ribosomal RNA (497 nucleotides) under uncultured bacterium. Its description in RNAcentral is "partial 16S ribosomal RNA". It matches the Rfam family "Bacterial small subunit ribosomal RNA", at positions 28 to 507 of the family's 1533-position model. The record is from RNAcentral.
GAUGAACGCUGGCGGCGUGCCUAACACAUGCAAGUAGAACGCUGAAGGAAGGAGCUUGCUCUUUCCGGAUGAGUUGCGAACGGGUGAGUAACGCGUAGGUAACCUGCCUGGUAGCGGGGGAUAACUAUUGGAAACGAUAGCUAAUACCGCAUAACAGUAGAUGUUGCAUGAUAUCUACUUAAAAGGUGCAAUUGCACCACUACCAGAUGGACCUGCGUUGUAUUAGCUAGUUGGUGAGGUAACGGCUCACCAAGGCGACGAUACAUAGCCGACCUGAGAGGGUGAUCGGCCACACUGGGACUGAGACACGGCCCAGAAUCCUACGGGAGGCAGCAGUAGGGAAUCUUCGGCAAUGGACGGAAGUCUGACCGAGCAACGCCGCGUGAGUGAAGAAGGUUUUCGGAUCGUAAAGCUCUGUUGUAAGAGAAGAACGAGUGUGAGAGUGGAAAGUUCACACUGUGACGGUAUCUUACCAGAAAGGGACGGCUAACUACGUG